AGGUAUCCUGAGCAAGGAGAGGAGGUCUUAGCACUGCAGUUAUGUGUGCAAGGCAGUCAAGAGGGGCACGGAUUUCCUCCUUCAGCUACCUGGUUCCUCACAGCUUUAGCAGAGGAGAGCAGAAGAGCAACCCACCUGAGCAACAUUUUGAGCUGAAGUGCCUACACAGACUGCAGAAGAUGAGGAAGACAGAGGACCUGACUCACCUCUGUCACCUUUACAUCAGCUCGUGGUGCGUGCAAAGCUCUGCCACUGUACUGGUGGAAAUGACUGCACUGAGUGUAUGGCUGAGAGCUGCUUUGUGAUGUAAGGGACAUCUAGCACAGGCAUGCACAUCUAAUGCACCAUCCAUCGCAGGGGUAUCUCCUUGAAAUGCUUUAUUCUGCAUCAUAGACUCUGGUAUUUUCUACAGAGUGAACACAAAAAUUGUCUUGUGAAAUCCUUUCCUCCAAAUUCCAGUUGCACAUCGCUCAGGUAGUGCCCUUAAGGUGGUAACCUUAAGGUGUGCAGGUCUCUGGUACCUGUCUCCUUUUCUUUUAGCUACAUGAUUCCUUUCUCACGCGGAAGCUGCCUGUGAUUCUUACAUCACCCGGUUACUUUGUCCUUUUCUUUUGCUCUUCUGAGCAAAGAAUGUUUUCUUUUCUCGGAUAUCUCUGACUUCUGUUUCCUCUGCACCUUCUGUUAGGCCCCUACCAGAAGCAAUAAGACUAACUGUUCUUAAUUCCCAGCUGGUUUAUAGGUCUUUUGCUUUGUCUUCUCAUGAAAACGCCUGCAUGCCAGCUGUAGCAACAGCUGAAAACAAGGAAAAACCAUCACUCUGUGACUGGCGAAUUUCUCUGUGCAUGGUGGACAAGUUCUGGUUGGGCUGCAAGCGAUCGGUGAUCUGCAGUUUGAGAAUUUCCCAGACUCUAGAGUAUUUCUUAGAUAAGAUUUCACUGUGAGACAUGUAAGAUUGCAUUCACAAUUUGUGUUUCUUUCUUGCUGUAAGGGGGAGGGAGUAUGCACUCAGACCAAAACAAAUAUAUAUGUGCAUCUACAGGCACCUAUGUUUUGGUAAAACCCGUUGACUGAAAAUGUGAUUGCUGGGCUUUCUGCAGUGCAGUGUUGGAUGUAAUUCUUGUGGGGAGAAGACUCCGUCCUAUGGUGGUUGGAACCUGCAAUUCAUCUUGGUUUCAGAGCCUAGGCUCCAGUUCAUCAACAAGAUUUAAGACUUUGGUUCCUUUGAUGUGAAUGUUCUAGGCUUGUGCUAAAGUGAAGCCAGUGCUCAAAUGCUCUUCUGAACUGGUAUGGACCAAAGUAAGAUUAAAUGAGUUUCUCAGACCGGGU
RNAcentral lists this long non-coding RNA (1326 nucleotides) under Numida meleagris (helmeted guineafowl). RNAcentral's name for it is "lncRNA (ENSNMEG00000017295.1)". The record is from RNAcentral. Lineage: Eukaryota; Metazoa; Chordata; Aves; Galliformes; Numididae.